CCCUUAGAUGUCCUGGGCCGCACGCGCGUUACACUGAUGCAUUCAACGAGCUUAUAACCUUGGCCGAGAGGCCUGGGCAAUCUUGUUAACGUGCAUCGUGAUAGGGAUGGAUGAUUGAAAUUAUUAAUCUUGAACGAGGAAUUCCUAGUAAACGCAGAUCAUCAAUCUGCAUUGAUUACGUCCCUGCCCUUUGUACACACCGCCCGUCGCACCUACCGAUUGGAUGGUCCGGUGAAGCCUCGGGAUUGUGGUUCUUGCCGCUUUAUUGUGGCGUGACCGCGAGAACUUGUCUAAACCUUAUCAUCUAGAGGAAGGUGAAGUCGUAACA
This 328-nucleotide ribosomal RNA is filed under the name uncultured eukaryote. RNAcentral's name for it is "partial 18S ribosomal RNA". It matches the Rfam family "Eukaryotic small subunit ribosomal RNA", at positions 1470 to 1796 of the family's 1831-position model. The record is from RNAcentral.